UCCGACGUAAACCGUAAUUGGUAUCGGGGCGGACUGUUAAUCCGUUCAGGUGGAAGCCUGGUGCUGGUUCGAGUCCAGCCGUCGGAGCCA
RNAcentral lists this transfer RNA (90 nucleotides) under Verrucosispora sp. WMMC514. RNAcentral describes it as "tRNA-Asn". It matches the Rfam family "tRNA". From Rfam's summary of the family: Transfer RNA (tRNA) molecules are approximately 80 nucleotides in length. Their secondary structure includes four short double-helical elements and three loops (D, anti-codon, and T loops). RNAcentral also lists the same sequence under 2 other names. The record is from RNAcentral. Lineage: Bacteria; Bacillati; Actinomycetota; Actinomycetes; Micromonosporales; Micromonosporaceae.